RNAcentral lists this non-coding RNA (88 nucleotides) under unclassified sequences. The record is from RNAcentral.
AUAAACUUGCCGCCGGGUAAGCAACUGUAAACGUUGAUAUUCGCAUCGUUAGGCCUUUGAAGAUGCGUUAUAUCUGCGUUUUUUGUUU